RNAcentral lists this ribosomal RNA (136 nucleotides) under uncultured bacterium. RNAcentral's name for it is "partial 16S ribosomal RNA". It matches the Rfam family "Bacterial small subunit ribosomal RNA", at positions 355 to 507 of the family's 1533-position model. The record is from RNAcentral.
CGAGGAAUCUUGCGCAAUGGGCGAAAGCCUGACGCAGCAACGCCGCGUGGGGGAUGAAGGCCUUCGGGUCGUAAACUCCUUUUGUCAGGGAAGAAAUAAGACGGUACCUGGCGAAUAAGCCACGGCUAACUACGUG